RNAcentral lists this transfer-messenger RNA (344 nucleotides) under Nitrospirales. RNAcentral describes it as "NS-4 sp005877815 Standard tmRNA". It matches the Rfam family "transfer-messenger RNA". Rfam says of the family: Bacterial tmRNA, also known as 10Sa RNA or SsrA, is named for its dual tRNA and mRNA-like properties. Its role is to liberate the mRNA from a stalled ribosome. To accomplish this part of the tmRNA is used as a reading frame that ends in a translation stop signal. RNAcentral also lists the same sequence under 2 other names. Lineage: Bacteria; Pseudomonadati; Nitrospirota; Nitrospiria. The record is from RNAcentral.
GGGGGUGACAGGCUUCGACGGGGAUCAUGAGGCAAAGGUGGCAUGCCGAGCUCCGGGAACUCGUUAAGUCCGGAAAAAGACAACUGCCAACACUGAACUGGCACUCGCCGCUUAAUAACCGGUGACGUCCUUCUUCUGACGCCUGCGCAGGGGAAAGGGCGACGAUAGCGGGCUGGCCUGCUGCUGGUGCUCAGCGGCGGUGGGCGAGACAUACUGGGCUAGCGACCGUUCUAAGCCUGCCGACGGGCGUGGACGGAAGCGAAACCCCAAAUCGGCGGCUAAGCAUGUAGAGGCCUUUCGCUGACGGUCUUCGGACAGGGGUUCGACUCCCCUCACCUCCACCA